RNAcentral lists this long non-coding RNA (1220 nucleotides) under Homo sapiens (human). RNAcentral describes it as "HSALNT0038585". The record is from RNAcentral. Lineage: Eukaryota; Metazoa; Chordata; Mammalia; Primates; Hominidae.
GUUUUUCUUCCCAGUAUAUCCCCAACAUUUAACAACAGGUUAAUACUUAAAUAUAGUAGAUUCUCAAUAAAUAUGUGUUGAUUAAAUAAAUAAACCAAUUUAAUUCAAGACAAGUAAACGGACACUUUCAAGGAAGCAUUUUAAAGCUAUAGGGGAGAGAAAAGUGGCCUGGGAACUCAAAUAUGCGGCCCUCACCCCUACUAGGGAAGCAGAAGGAGGGAGCAUCCCGUCCAAAGCUUCCCAAGCGGCGCCGGACUGCGUGCUGCGGCUGUGGGGGUAGAAGUCUUCAGAUAAAAGAUGGGGAAAACAGACCAAAGCAAGUCUCGCUGGCCAGUGACACUCCAGGAGCAUGGCCCAUGGAAGGAUCCAAGGCUGAGGGAUCUGGGGUAGCCCCACAGAGAUACUCUGCCAAAAUCCAGUCACGAGAAGGAGGGAGGAGGCGAGGAACGAAAAUGAGAUUUGGUUUAGGCCGGAAGAACGGGCUGCGCCAACAACGAGAAAAUAAAGUGGCGAGCUGGGAAGGGUGUAGCGCGGGCUAGAAGGGCGGGAAACUUGAGAACCACGGGCGCGGGAGCCUGGCGGGGACGCAAGCCCGGAACUGGCGGAGGGGUGGGCAGGCGCAUGCGCGCGCGCAGCUGAAACGCCGGCUGAUGAAACUGACAAAGGCGAGAGCGCGCAGCAGCCCACAGCAGCCGAGUUCGCGCCGCCGGUAGGUGCUGCCAUGCCAGGGGGCGGGAUCGUGGAGCGCCUCGCAGAACCGCACGAAAGCAAAAACAAAGCCAUCUCUCCGGAGCAGAAAUAGAACAGACGUGGCCGGGGAAAGCCAAAUAUUUGUGGCUGGACUCAGACACAUCACGCUCCAGUUUGGGUUCCAAGGUGCUUCUCUCUGGAUUUUCACCUGCCUUGCCAAAAAUGAUUGAUUACGCUGGGCCAACUGGGUGUCCGGCAAUACCCAACAAAUGACUUUGGCCCCUAACAGCAGGUCUUGGCCAGACAGAAAUCAAUAUUUCACCAUUAAAAUCUAUCAAAGAAGAGUUAAGGCACCAUCUGUCCCUGCCGCCUCUCUAUGGUGUGUGAACAUUAAAUCCGACACUUGUACUACAUGGGUAAUCAAUAUAUAGUGGUUCACAGAUCAUUUGUGGUUCCCUUUUAGCAGUGAUGGAUGUCUGGAAUCGUUGUGAUUCAUUUUGUCAGACCAUUAAACAAGAUUCUGUCCAGUU